RNAcentral lists this unclassified non-coding RNA (4004 nucleotides) under Leishmania donovani. RNAcentral describes it as "gene:LdHU3.29.0180(CDS-product:proteasome_regulat ory_non-ATPase_subunit_putative)". Lineage: Eukaryota; Euglenozoa; Kinetoplastea; Trypanosomatida; Trypanosomatidae. The record is from RNAcentral.
UUGUAGAAGGAUUCAUAGUUGCAGCCCUUCACACUGCCAAUCUCCGCCAGCUUCCCCCCUACACGUGCCACACUCGGUCUGUCUGUCUGUCUCUCGUUCCGCAAACUGUUGCUUGCCCUGUCGUGUGUGUGUGUGUGUCGCUGUGUAUGCGCUGUCUACGUGGGGGCUGGUCAGGCGUGCAUGUGUGAUUUGCGGCUCACUCCAUAUCACGCCUCUCCUUUACUCAUACUCAUCUCUCGCGCACAUCCACCCAGCCUCUCUCCCUCACUCGAACUGUUCUGCAUCCCGGCGCAUCAUCACCGCUUCGAGGAGAGCGUGACUGUCUUCUUAUAGACUACCGCAACCUCUGCAGCUCCCUACCUGACACACUCCCGUUUCAUAGAGAUCCGUCUGCCAUGGGCUCCAAGGGGGAGGAGGUGGCGGUCGAUGUGCCGUCGAAGGACCCGCAGAAGGAUGCCACCAUCAAUGAGAAGAAAAAGAAGGAGAACGAACACAAGAUGAGUGAGGAGGACAUGCGCAUCAAGGAGGAGGUGGAGCUGCUUGUGACGCGCGCCGCAGACAGCGACGUCGACAUCGCCAAGAUCGCGGUGGAGCGCCUGGUGGAUCUGCUUCGAACGAGCAGCAGCGGCAGUCUGGCGGCUGUGCCACCACCACUGAAGCACGUGCGCGCCUUGUAUCCGGAGCUGGAGGCGGCGCUCAAGAGCUCUCAGAACCCAUCUGUUUCGCGCCGCCUGCACGACCUCCUCUCCUUCAUCUCCAUGACGCUGGAGCCCAACAACGGCGGCCGCACACUACUGGAGCAUAAACUGAAGGGCACAAAGAACGACCUGGCGCAGUGGGGCCACGAGUACCUCCGCUUUCUCGCCGGCGCUAUCGGUGAGGAGUGGCGCGAGCGGCCCAACAGCAAGGAAUCGACCGAGCACCUAAACGGCUUCGUGGACCAGAUCGUCUCCUACAUGCUGGCACACCAAGACGAGGCGACGGCGAUCGACUUACUGAUGGAGAUCGACGGCGUCACGCGCAUUUUGCCCCUUGUCGAGGCGUCGAACUACAAGCGCAUUGCAAACUAUAUCGCGGCAAUCAGCAAGUACCUGACUCGCCCCUCGGACAGUGAGGCGCUGCGCACGGUGUACGACAUCUACAAGAAGAUGCAAGCCUACCCAGAUGCCGCGCUCACCGCCCUCAGGCUGAACGACCGCGACCUCGUUGCGGAACUAUUCAGCGAGUGCAAAAGCAAGCCGGAGCGUCUGCAGAUGGCGCUGCUGUGUGCCAGGCAGAAAUGCUUCCUUGACCUGGAUAGCGAGGAGGACGAGCUGCUGCAAGACGCGAAUGGCAAUAUGAGUCUCUCGCAGCUCUACCGCCACACGGCGCAGGAGUUCGACUCCAUGGCGCCUAAGACUCUGGAGGAGGUGUUCAAGAUGUCCCCGGAUGAGAAGAGCGGUCCGAAAGAUCUGCAGAACAACUUGGUCUGCGCGUUUGUGAGUGGACUGGCCAACUGCGGCUACGGCACAGACAAGUUCCUCUCCGACACCCCAGCCUUCUUUUUUGAUCAGCGCGAGGACCGCAUCAUUUCCACCACGGCUGCCCUCGGCCUGCUGCACCUGUGGGACCACACGGAGGGCCUGCAGCAGAUCGACAAGUACUUCUAUUCUGAGAGCACCUACGUGAAGGCUGGCGCGUGCCUCGCUUCUGGCAUCGUCAUGUGUGGCGUGAAGAAUCCUUUUGACCCCGCGCUAGGGCUGCUCUCGGAGCAGAUCAACGCGCGAGAGACAGAGGUGGCUAUUGGUGCGAUUCUCGGCCUCGGCUACGCCUACGCCGGAACGCGCAAGGAGGACGUCAAGGAGCUGCUCAUCCCGUUACUGGCGGACUCGGAGCAGAAACUCUUGGUGCAAUGCAUGGCGGCUUACGCCCUCGCCACCGUGUUCGUGGCCUCUGCCGAUGAGGACAUCUCCGAGACGAUGAUGAACUGCCUAAUGGAGGUGCCGGAGAACAAGCUGAAGGAGCCAUAUGUGCGGUAUCUGAUCCUGGCGCUCGGCUGCAUGUUCCUGGGUCGCCAGGAGGCCGCGGACACCCUUCUCGACGCCACGCGCGCGCUGCCGGUGGCCAUUCAGCGCUACACGGAGAUCGUGGUGCGCAGCUGCGCCUUUGCAGCCACGGGCAACGUCGUCGUCAUCCAGAGCCUCUUCCACGUCAUUGCUGAGAACGACGAGGCGCCGGAGAAUGACGAGGAGAAGAACGACGACGAGUCAAGGGAGGGCAACGCGAGCGAGGAGGCAGCAGCGAAGCCGGAGGAGGAGAAGACGGCGCCACUGAAUCACAAGGCGGCGGCUGUGCUCGGUAUCGGUCUCGUGGCGGUCGGCGAGGACCUCGGGAUGGAGAUGACCAAGCGGGCCAUCAUUCACUCGCUGCUGGCGGAUACCGUUAGCAAAGGCAAGGAUCCCAUGUCAGGGCGGUGCGCAGUGCCCCUGGUCUACGCCCUCCUCUCUGCUGGCAACCCCAACAUGCCGGUUGUGGAGACGCUGAACCGACUCGCCCACGACUCGGACCUGCCGACGGCCACCAACGCCAUUACGGCGAUGGGCAUCGUCGCGGCUGGAAGCAACAACGCCCGCGUCGCCACGAAGCUGCACAGCCUCUCCUCUUAUUAUCAGAAACCCAUUUUUGCCGGGGCAACCUUUGCGGUGCGCCUGGCCGAAGGUUUCUGCGCGAUGGGUAAGGGCCACCUUACCCUCUCCUGCCUGCAGAAUGACAGCAAUGUGGUGAGCAUGACGGCACUGAUGGGUGUGCUGAGCCUGCUCCACAGCUCGCUGGAUCUGUCAAACACGCUGCUUGGUGAAUGCCACUACAUGUUCUACGCCAUUACCCCUUCCAUUAGCCCACGCAUGAUGAUGGCCGUCAAUGAGAACAUGGAGCCUGUGGACUCGGUGUUGGUGCGUGUCGGUCUGCCGGUGGACACGGUGGCCCUGCCGGGCAAUCCGAAAACCAUCACCGGCUUUCAAACUCAAAAAACGCCGGUGCUUCUCAGCGCAACAGACAAGGUGGAAUGCGCUGACGUCAAGUACGUGCCUGUUGGGACGGUGCUGGAGGGUAUUUGCGUCGUCAAGGAGCGGCCUCAGGCGGAGUAGAGCUUGUGUGCAUUGCACGGCAGCACUCAACGGACCUUCCGUAACUCUGCUCUUCUCUCUCGGUGCCCCUAGGUGGUUGUUGUCGUGGGCCUUUGUCUUAUGAGGUGCACGCAAGCGAGCACGCUUCGGCAUGCGGCGGAGAGGCUCGGGCGCGCCCCCUCUACGUCGGCGAGGGUGGAAAUGGAAAAGCAGAGGAGCAGGCGUCGGUGCGCGUGUGACACUCGCCCGUCCGUCCUUUUUCGAAAGAGGGAAAGUGUUGUUGUGUGUGUGUGUGUGGAGGGGGUGGGGGCAGUGCCGUUCCUCCCACCUGAACUUAUAGGGGUCGAUGACGCCGUCGAGCGGCCGCACUUCCCUGCUCGACGAGCGCUUUUUGUUUCUUUGUUUUGGCCGACUGGGACGGAUCCCUGCGUGUGGGCGUGAUUGCCUCCAUCAUGCCGCUGCGUGCGUGCGGUUGUGUGUCUCGCCGAUUGAUGUAUCGUCGGCGGGUGGUUUCCUCUUUUUCGAAUUUUAUUACUAUUUUCAUGUUUUCAAGGCAUCUAUGUCAGGCGGUGGUGUGUGCCGGAGGUGUGCGCUAAGACUGAGAUGAAGUGCAAUAACGCAAAGGAGCAUAGACCCCACCCCCUCCGGGCUACAUGCUUUGAUGGCCAGGAAGGUGCGUGGGUGUCGCACUGUUGGCGCACGAGAUGCAUCUGCAUGGGCAGGUGUUUCCCCUCGCUGUGGCGCGCGUUGGGCAUGACCCAGGUAUGCCUCCCUCCCUUUCGCCGUUGGUGAAGCGCAGCGAGCAGGCGCAGAUUCAAUGUCUCGAUGCGCUUGUCUUCUCGCCCUCUCCUCCUCGGGAGGUGGGCUUGGAGGUUACGGCUUUGCUUCUCGCGCAUUCGG